GGAGUUAGCCGGUGCUUCUUCUGUGAGUGAUGUCCUUCCUGCCGGCUAUUAACCCGCAGGCCUUCUUCCUCACUGAAAGUGCUUUACAACCCGAAGGCCUUCUUCACACACGCGGCAUGGCUGGAUCAGGGUUGCCCCCAUUGUCCAAUAUUCCCCACUGCUGCCUCCCGUAGGAGUCUGGGCCGUGUCUCAGUCCCAGUGUGGCUGAUCAUCCUCUCAGACCAGCUACGGAUCGUCGCCUUGGUGAGCCGUUACCUCACCAACCAGCUAAUCCGACAUAGGCUCAUCCGAUAGCGCGAGGCCCGAAGGUCCCCCGCUUUCCCCCGUAGGGCGUAUGCGGUAUUAGCCUGGGUUUCCCCAGGUUAUCCCCCACUACCGGGCAGAUUCCUAUGCAUUACUCACCCGUCCGCCGCUCGCCACCAGGGAGCAAGCUCCCCGUGCUGCCGCUCUACUUGCAUGUGUUAGGCCUGCCGCCAGCGUUCAAUCUGAGCCAUGAUCAAACUCUGA
This 507-nucleotide ribosomal RNA is filed under the name uncultured bacterium. Its description in RNAcentral is "partial 16S ribosomal RNA". The record is from RNAcentral.